This 363-nucleotide ribosomal RNA is filed under the name Lacerta agilis (Sand lizard). RNAcentral describes it as "partial 12S ribosomal RNA". It matches the Rfam family "Bacterial small subunit ribosomal RNA", at positions 866 to 1395 of the family's 1533-position model. Lineage: Eukaryota; Metazoa; Chordata; Lepidosauria; Squamata; Lacertidae. The record is from RNAcentral.
UCUCCGCCAGAGAACUACAAGUGAAAAACUUGAAACUCAAAGGACUUGACGGUGUCCCAUAUCGACCUAGAGGAGCCUGUCCUAUAAUCGAUACUCCACGUUUCACCCAACCUUAACUAGCAAAAUAUCAGCCUAUAUACCGCCGUCGACAGCCUACCCUAUGAAGGUCUAACAGUAGACUCAAUAGCAUCACCGCUAGUACGUCAGGUCAAGGUGUAGCAAAUGUUAAGGUAGAGAUUGGCUACAUUUUUUAUAAUAAAAAACACGAAAAGUACUAUGAAACUGUACAUGAAGGUGAAUUUAGUAGUAAAACAGAUAAGAGUGUCUAUUUUAACAACGCUCUGGGACGCGUACACACCGCCC